GGAGGGACAGCACAGCAGAGAUGGUGAAGCCUCGUGGCCAGUGGGGGGCGGGAAGGUGGUGCCACUCUGGGAAAGGCUCCUUCUGUCCUCUGGGCCUUGCCAGUUGUCAGCAGCCCCUGGGACAGGGCUGGCGCAGGAACUUGCGUGGCCACAUUCAGAUAGGUCCUUGCCCACGAGGAGCUUAAACGUAGCACAUCCCAUUCCCCGCUGGGCCUUGGGAGGCAGCGGCCCCUCUCCCAGAGCCCAUCCUACUGGCUCCGGCAGCGUGCCAUGAAAUGUUAGCCCAGCCUGCGUUCUGACCUCUAGUCAGAGAACGCCCUCUGUGGGCACUCACCUUCACCCUCUGAGGGCUGGCAGGCUGCUGGCCCUGUUUCCAGAGGCUGAUCCUGCCAAGAAACAGGCUCAGGGGUUGAGGCAACUCAUCCCCAGUGAUGCAACCAGCAAGAGGCAGAGGCCGCAUUCAAACCCAGGGGCGUUUGCUUCCAGUCCUGUGACCAAUCAACAUCAAUUUAUUUUAUCACAGUUCUGGAUUUAAGAAUCCAAAAUGAGUCUUAUAAGACUAAAAUGAAGGCAUCGGUCGGCAAAGCCACGCUCCUCUGGAGGCUGUUGGGGAGGGUCCUACCCCGUCUUCUAGCUCUCGGCUCCUGGCAUCCCCAGGCUGGUGGCCCGGUCCCUCCAGCCCCUGCUUCCCAUCCUGCAGCCACGUGGGCCCUGCCUCACGUGGCCACCUGUGAUUACACGGGGCCACCUGGAGAAUCCCUGGCCCCAAGGUAAUUGGUCUAAUCACGCAGGCAGUGCCUUGGGCCGGCGACAUUCCCAGGUUCUGCAGAUUAGGCUGGGGAUGUCUUUGGCCCCCCCCACCUCAGGCACCACAUGCUCCAUCAAGCCUUGCUCACUUUUUCUUCUGUAUUCACUACUAAGGCAAUAAUCCUGUUGUUAAACUAAACCCCAGGUGCUGAGUUAAGACCUCGAUUUCUAAGGAAGAAAUCUGCAAUGCGGCCGUCUGACCACGGCUUGCUGUCUAUAACAGGUGAAAUGACCAGGAUGUUCUCAGAGACACGGAUAAGCACACAGCAUGCCUGGCAGCUAAUAAAAACUGCAGGUGACCAAGGAGGAUCUGAGAAACUGGUGUUUUUAUCGAUUCAAGGAAUAAAAGCUAACCCCACAGGCAGAUGUCAGCAAAAUGCCGGUCCGAGUGCCGUCAAGGUCAGGAGGAGGCCAGCACUCUCCGCACAAACAACGUGAGCGUUCUGGAGGGCGGUUUCGACAUGCGUGUGCAGGAACUUGAAGAGAUAAAUACUGUUUGACUCGUGAAGUCAGCUCCACAGAUUCCUCAAGUCCCUUUUUAUGGUGGUGUCUUCUUUUUCAGUUUGGAACAUAACCUCCCGUCUCCCCAUUGUGGCCGACUUGCUUGCUUCUGUUAUCAGGAAGGUAGCCACAUCUCCCUGCAGGUCGUGGCCUGCCGUGGAAGGUGUGCCAUGAAGGUGUCCCAUGGGUCUCAAGUGUUGUCGCCAGUAGCAGGUGUUCCGGAACUGUCCCCUGUGUGGGCUCUCAAGUCCUCCUUUUGUGACUGAGUCCUCAGGUGCUGCAGGUGUGCUGAUGGGUGGGGCUGGCUGCCACCUAGCAGGCCUACUAGGUGGGUGGGGAUGCCCAUCCUCCAGGGCAGAGCUGCUUUUUGCAGGGAGGGUGGCAGGGGUGAGCAAGUUGGAUGGGACAGGUCUGCAGAGGGACGGUAGGGCAGGGCGGGCAGGGCCAGCAAGGGAUAUGGUGACUGCCCCUGCUUCGUUCCUGGAGAAAGUUCCUGUAGAUCCCUGCUCCUCCAGCACACGUCCUAAAAUCACUCAAUAUAUCGAUGCCCUUCGUGAACAGCCCUAGGUGCUUUUCAGACUGCUGCCUCCGUGCUGGGUCUUUUUUUUUUUUUAAGAUUUUAUUUAUUCAUGAAAGACACACACACAGAGAGAGGCAGAGACACAGGCAGAGGGAGAAGCAGGCUCCAUGCAGGGAACCCGACCCAGGACUUGAUACUGAAACUCCAGGAUCAUGCCCUGGACCAAAGGCAGAUGCUCAACCACUGAGCCACCCAGGCAUUCCGGUGCUGGGUCUUGAACACAGUGACAUAGCACGCUGGCCUUAUAGGCCUGGGGUCUUCGAUUCCUGCAGACCUCUGGCUCUCCCAGAGUUAAGUCCUGCUGAUUUUCAAAGUGAGACAUUAUGGGGGCUCAUCUUUCCAGUACAGAUACCUAGAGGGGUACCUCAGGUUGGGGCUUGAACCCUUCGAGGGAGGACCUCAAUGCUGAGGCAUCACCCGUACAUGCAGGUCCCCAUGCUGGGGGUUUGGUUCCCGAGGGCCUGCGUCUCUGCCCUCGCUACCCUUAUGGAUGUGGUUUCCUCUGCAUUUCUUCAACUGCAGCUGACCUGUUUUGCUGGCUGCCAGGUUCUUCCUGGAAAGGAGUACUCUAUACGUAGCUAUAUGCAGCCCUAGUGUGUCCGUGGGAGGAGGUGAGCUCAGCAUCUUCCUCCUCCACAGCCUUCCCAUUCAGCCCGGAACCGACACGUAUGGUUAAUAAAGUUUUCAAUGAAAUGCAAGCAGGAAAGACGUAGACACAACCUCAGGCAGGCCCACCCUCUAAUGACUCUGCUCUUUGGUGCAUCCCCAGCCUCGGAACACAGUCUGCCACACAUCAGUCCCCAGCUCUACACUCCCAAAAUGCGUGGGGCACUGUCGCAAGGACGUGACGUGUGCCAGCAGAUCCUCACAAUAAUCCCAGUGGCAAGCACUAUUGUUACCACCCCUGCUUUAGAGGUGGAGAAACUGAGGCACAGAUCAAUAGUGGGACUUGCCCGAGGUUCUAAGCUAAUCAACUGCAGAGCCGGGAUUCAAUAUCUGCCCUUAACCACCUUUCUGUGGAGCUUGGUCAGGUGGUUGCUCAGGGGACGCUGAAAUAACCAGGAAGGCCGUGUCCUGAUGCCGGGGUGGGCAGAUGGAAAGCUUUCCAACAGUGCUUUCCACACGAUGGAUGGCAGCCCACCUGUGGGUCAUGAAAUCCUCCCAGAAGGGAAGGGUGUUACAAGUUACCCCCAAACUGCUUGGCGUAAACCAAUAAUAAACAUGAUCUCAGACAAUUUUGGAGGCUCAGGGACACAGAGACAGCUCAGCUGGGUGGUUUUGGCUGUCUCCCCACAUGGACCACUCCAUGGGGCUGCAUGAGCAUCCUUGCUGCAGGAUGGUCGGCCUCCUCUCACCCCUCCUGGGUGAGCGACCCAGGAGACAUAUAGCAGAGUCUCGGGAGCCGUGCUUCAUCAUUCCUGUGACCUCCCUCUGGUUACACAGUCCAUGUGGGAGGGAGCUACACAGGACACGAGCAGCAGGACACCUAGAGGCCCGUGGGGAGGAGGGAUCCACCAAAACUGGGGGAUCUGGCUGGUGGUAGAGUUCUGCUACAAGGCAAGAGCAGACCUUCCGCUGACCAAAGUCCUUUGUGUCGGGUCCAGAUGCAUUAUUGCUGGUGGCCCCCGCCUGGCUUCUGCCUUUUGGCCUGACAGCGAGGUAUUUGUGAAGGUGUGUUGCUUGAUGAGCUAAGAGAAGGAAGCAGCCUAGGGACAAGCAAUGGGCCAGUGAAGUAAGAAUGUGGGAGGCCACAGAGACUGCAGGCAAGCCUGGGCCCCACCCCUGCCAGACACAGGCAAUUGCAGGAGAAGGAACAUUGCAAAUCCUAAAACAUAAAUCAAGGUCAGAGAUGAUCAUGAUAAUGUUUGUGGAAGAGGCUCCACGGGAGGCAGGCUGGAUGCCAGGGGAAGGGAGGCGGUAUUGCAGCACCCCGCUGCACAGAGCACCUACUCCAGGCAGGAUCCAUGGGGGCACCUUGUUCGUUUCUGAACAGCACUAUUUUCCAUUAUUAAUGCUUUAAAAUAGGCAAUAUGCUCACACUUGGACAUUUAUCCCAGAGAAAUAAAAAAUUAUGUUUGCAUAAA
RNAcentral lists this long non-coding RNA (3972 nucleotides) under Canis lupus familiaris (dog). RNAcentral's name for it is "lncRNA (ENSCAFG00000058746.1, ENSCAFG00805012189.1)". The record is from RNAcentral. Lineage: Eukaryota; Metazoa; Chordata; Mammalia; Carnivora; Canidae.